The submitters of this non-coding RNA (160 nucleotides) gave its source as unclassified sequences. The record is from Rfam.
CCUGGCAUCGGUACAUCCAUUGGCCUAGAUGAUCCAGUGCGGAUGCAAGGAAAAUUCAAUAAAAACAGCUGCCUACUGGAUAAGGAAGCUGCAAUCCCGGAAUGGAGGAAACUCCUACAGGACUGCGGUUAGAUUUCUAUUGCCUUUUUGCAGCUGACCA